CCUCAUCUUACAACACUCUCACUCUUGACUUGUGCUACAGUUUUCUCUUGGGUCCCUGAAUGGGACAGGGAAACUUCCUCCUGGUAGCCUUUUGCUCCAAAAGAGAUCAAGUCCCUCUGCUACAUGCUCCUGCAGCCCUCAGGGUAUCAUCUCUGUAACCUUAACCACCAUUGUAAAUAACUGUUUUUGGUAUUACUUGCUUGUUAUCUGCUUUAUCUCUUUCCUAGAGUCACCAUGAGAGCAAGGAAAACCAGUAUCUUAUUUACCACUGUAUCUUCAGAAUUGAGCAUGUAUGUAGUACCUGGCCUAUAGUAUACACUCAACUGUUUGCAUAAACAAAUGAAUAAUAAUAAAUCAAUCAAAAGUAAAAUAUGAGUUCACUAUCAUGACAGCAUACACAACAAACUUUUUCUCUGAAUAAGUAGAUGGUGUGCCUUCCCCAAUACCUUUUGCUAGUUCUCUUGGUAGCCAAUAGCAUGCUUUUACAAAGUGACACAUAUUCAGGAUGACUGCCUUGAUUUGUGUUAGUCAACGGCUAUGACACUUAGUCAAGGAAAUUGGCCCAUACGUUGUUUAAACCCAUACUUACCUGCCACUAAAUCUGUGUUGGAUUUUUUUUUCUUUUCCUUUUUUUGCCAGAAGAAAAGAAAUGAAACUGCCCUGAAUUUUCAGUCCUCGUUCUCAGUAUUUGAUAUCUGAGUAUGAUCUCAUGAUAGAGCACACAGCUGACCCCCGAAGAAUAAAGAAAAGUCUACAAAUGUUAAAAAUCAAAAGAAAGCACUUAGAAUUUCAUUAUAUUGAAACUAGAAGAGAUCCCUCCACCCUCCAAAACCUCCUAGUCCAACCUCUCUGCUCUAAAGGAAAUAAAAAGAUGUAACAAAGGGAAGAAGCUUACUUACCAAAGGGAAUAUAGUGAGUUUAGUGGCCUGGGUGAUGCUAGAACACAAGUUUUCUAAUCAUCUACUGUCUCUCUUUCUGUCUUAGUAGGCACUAGACAGUAGCACUUUCUGUAAUGCUGGAAUUGUUCUAUGUCUGUGCCGGCCAAGAUGGUAGCCACUAUCCACAUGUGGCUAUUAAGGACUUGAGAUGUGGCCAGUACAACCGAGGCAAUGCAUUUUUAAUUUAAUUUUAAUUAAUUCCAAUUUAAGUAGACACAUAUGGUUAGUGGAUACUGUAUUGGAUAACACAGUUCUGGAAUAUGCCAGCUAGGUCAAGGAAAAUAAAACCAGUAACAUCAAAUAAUUUUCUAUUAAACUGGAAGAUCUUGAAUUACCUGACAGUAACCUUUCAGGACAGGGAUAACAAAGAAAGAAGGAAAUACGAUAUGCUUGGUUUCAGUUAAUGGAAAACAACAACAACAAUUCAAGCUACGAUGCAUAAUAAAGAAGAUGAAUGAUUUCUCUUCUAUAAUUUUUUUGUUACGUUUAUUUUUGAGAGAGACAGAGACUGAGUGGGGGAGAGGCAGAGAAAAAGAGGGAGACACAGAAUCCAAAGCAGGCUCCAAGCUGUCAAUAGAGAGACUGACGCGGUGCUCGAAUUCAUGAACCAUGAGAUCCUGAGUGGAAGUUGGACACUUAAUCCACUGAGCCACCCAGGCGUCCCAAAAAUGAAUGAUUUCUUAAAGGUUGAGAGUUCACAGGAGCGCAUCCUACGGCAGGCUCUCCACAAUGGAUCAAGCAUAGCUGCCCACAGCUGUCUCAGUUAUGAGCUUCUUCAUCCACAUAAUGGCAACAGAAAGAACUGUUUUGAUUUCUGUCAGAUGAGCAAGGAAGAUUCUUUUUCAGCUUCCACUAGCAAACCACUUCUCGUAUGGCUUUAAUUUAACUUGGGUCACUUACUGCUCCUGGUAAUCAAUGACUUGAGCCAGGUACUGGCUUGGCCGAGGGAAAAAAAAUCAUAUUGCUAGGCUUAGAGCCACACCACACUCUCCAGGCCCAAAUCAAGAAAGAAAUCACUUUCUGCCAGAAGAGAUGCAUGGAGUGAGAGUACCCCAAUCCAUCCACAUCUGAUUGGAUCAGGAAAAUAAAACACCUGACUCAAAUAAGCAUCAACCAUAGUUUGGCCACAGAUCUGGAAAUGAAGAGAAAAGUGCAGUUUCCAGAAGUUCCGAGAUCCAGUCUUAUAGCCAUGCUUGGAGCCCAGAGAUUGGUGCUUAGAUAUUCAAGUAUUUGUUGAAGGAAUGAAUGAGUGAAUGAAUGAACAGAGGCUUCGUGACUUCAAGAGACCUCAGUGUAGGAGACUUUCACUCUAUGUCUUGCUUUCACCAAUUAUACUACAGAUACCUGUCCAUUGCCUGGUUUGUGAUUGCCAGUUUAUUUAUUAACCUAACAAAAUCUCCACCCCAAAGCUUCCCUUGGAUCUCUCCCCCUUAUUGAAAAAUCUGUGUCCACCCACAAGCUUAUCCUUAGUUUCAGAAUGAAUUUCCUCUCAUGAUAGUUUGACAUUAUUUUCUCCAUACCUAGACUCCAAGGGAUAAAGGGGUGGGGGGAACCAGAGAUUGCUUUUUUGUGCUUUAAAUUAAAGAUAAAUCAUCAGACUUCUUAAAAAUGAAAUGUUAAUAGUCUAUCAUUUUCAUUCAUACAAAAAAUAUUUUUUGAGUUCCUACUGUGUGCCAGGUAUAAGAGCUGAGGUAUAGUCUGAGGAUGCAAACCAACCAGACAAGAAUCUUUGACCUUGUAGAACUUAAAUUCCAAAGGAGGGAGCCAGUAGUGAGCCAAACAGACAACUAAAACACAGGGUGUAUUAGGAGGUGAUAAGCAGCAAGAAAAGAAACAAAGAACAGCAGUGGGAUAGGCAGUGAUGAGGGCAGGGUGCAAUUUUUAAUGGAUAGGGUGCUUAUGGGUUCCAUUACAGCCCAUCACAAAGGUACACUGAAGUCCUAACCUCCAGUAUUUCAGAAUGUGACAUGAUUUAGAAAUAGUCUUUGCAGACGUCAUUAGUUAAGAUGAGGUCAUGCUGGAGUAGGAUGGGCUCCUAAUACAAUAUGACUGGUGUCCUUCUAAGAAGAUAGUGUGAAGACACACAGGGAGAGUGCCAUGCAGUGAAGAGGCAGAGGUUUGAGUCACUCAGUUAAAAGAUUUAAGACCACCACAAGAAGCUGGGAAGAGGCAAGAAAAGAUUCUACCCAGAGUCUUCGAGGCAACAUGGCCCUGCUGACACCUUGACUUGGGACUUCUAACCUCCAGAACUGUGGGAGAAUAAAUAUGUGUUUUAAGCCACCCAGUGUGUGCACUUUGUAAUGGCAGCUCUAGGAAACUAAAAUAGUGGAGGGGCUGGGAGAAUCCUUCAACUGUGAGGAUGACAUCUAAGAAAAGACUUGAAGUUGGUGAUCAAGCCACAUGUGUAGCUAUCUGGGAGAAAGGGAACAAAAACCACAAAGGCAAAGCAGUAGGAGCAGACUUAGUAUAUUCAUGUGGCUACAAGGAGGCCACAGUGGCUGGGGUAGGGUGAGGAGAGGGGGUAUAGUCAAUGAAAUCCAAGGGUAAUGAGAUCUAAAUACCAUAGAGUCUUGUAGCACAGUAGUGCUCAAACUUUAGCUGGGUAUCAUAAUUACCUGAUGGACUUAUUAAAACACAGAUUGCUGGGCCCACCCCUAGACCACCAGACUUUCUGAAUAAGUAGAUCUGGGGUCAAGCCUAAGAACAUGCAUGUCUAACACUUUUCUGAAGCCGAUAUUUUGGUCCAGGGACCAUCUUUGAGAAGCAUGGUUGUAGAGCAUCAUUAUGACUUAGAUCUUUGUUCUGUGUUAAGAUACAAGCUAUUACAAGGUUAAAGCAGAGGAGUGACACAAUAUGACCUCUAUUUUAGCAGGAUACUGUGUUCAUGGGUUGGGAAUAGGCUCUAAGAGGUGACAGGUAGAAGCAGAGAGACCAGUUAUGACAUUAUUGAAAUAAUGUGAAGCAUGUAUUUAAAAGUUGAUAUGAAAAAUUAACAACACAAGAAAACAGCAGGUGUUGGUGAGGAUGUGGAGAAAGGGGAACCCUCUUAUACUGUUGGUGGGAAUGCAAAGUAGUGCAACCACUCUAGAGAACAGUAUGAAGGUUCCUCAAAAAGUUAAAAAUAGAACUACCCUAUGAUCCAGCAAUUGCACUAUUAGGUAUUUAGCCAAAGGAUACAAAAAUACAGAUUCAAAGAGGUACAUGCACCCCAAUGUUUAUAGCAGCAUUAUCAACAAUAGCCAAGCUAUGGAGAGAGCCCAAAUAUCCAAUGACUGAUGAAUGGAUGAAGAAGAUAUGAGAUAUACACACACACACACACACACACACACACACACACACACACACAAUGGCAUACUACUUAGCCAUCAAAAAGAAUGAAAUUUUGCCAUUUGCAAUGAUGUGGAGGGAGCUAGAGUAUAUGAUGCUAAGGGAAAUACGUCAGUCAGAGAAAGAUAAAUACCAUAAGAUUUCACUCAUAUAUGGAAUUUAAGAAACAAAAUAGAUGAACAUAUGAAGGGGGAGAGAGAGGGAAACAAACCAUGAACAACUCUUAAAGAGAACAAACAGGAUUGAUGGAGGGAGGUGGGUGGGAGAUUGGCUAGAUGGGUGAUGGGUAUUAAGGAGGGCAAGUAAAUACAACUGGGUGUUGUAUGUAAGUGAUGAAUCACUGAAUUCUACUCCUGAAACCAAUAUUUCACUGUAUAUUAACUAACCAGAAUCUAAAUAAAAAAUUGAAAAAAAUAAAAGUAGAUAUCAACUAGUAUGUGUUACAUAUGACCCAGGGUUUUUUUGGAGAGGGCAGGAGCAUGUGGGUUAGUCCACAGAAAGUGAAUAUAUAACUAAGAGACCUAAGUUACCUGGUGCCUUGAGAGCUUGGCAUUCUUAGAGGACAACUCUUAUUUAAUAUGAGUUAUAUUACCUCUGAGCAGCACUACCUUCCCUCCUGUCACCUCCAUGCACAGCCAAUUCAGCAAUCAAGGCCAUGUCACAUCUUGAGAUUUUUAAUGGGCUCUGUAGGCCAUCCACUGGAGUUUUGAAUUCUUGGAUUGCUUUUAAAAGAGAAAAAGGUCUCUUUCCUCCAUCCUAACACCAACCCAGAAUUCUUUGAAUUUUAAGAGUUUUUGCUUGAGUAGCUAAUGAGGACUCUAAUACAUAUGUCCUGUUAAGGCUCUCAGAUCAUUCCCACAAUGACCUUUAAGAAGGUCCUAAAAUAGAUUAGAAUAUAUGUAUCUUUUUAUAUAAAGCCUAAACCUUACAGUGGAAGAAAUUUCAGAUGUGAAGAAUAAAACAAAAUACUAGGGUUAAUAAUGACCAAAAAAGUAAUAUUUAGAAGGAAUAAUACAUCCAACCUUUACAGAGCAUUUGAUUUCUAUUAUCACAUUCUUUUUUCACUCAGUGUGUGCUCUCACCUUCCUAUUGAUCUAUC
Long non-coding RNA from Acinonyx jubatus (cheetah), 5364 nucleotides. RefSeq lists it as uncharacterized. The transcript is spliced from 4 exons. The record is from RefSeq and is a predicted model, not a curated record. Lineage: Eukaryota; Metazoa; Chordata; Mammalia; Carnivora; Felidae.